This 6639-nucleotide long non-coding RNA is filed under the name Marmota monax (woodchuck). Lineage: Eukaryota; Metazoa; Chordata; Mammalia; Rodentia; Sciuridae. The record is from RNAcentral.
GCCCAAAGCUACCCUGACAUUAAAGCCAAGCUUAAGAAGUUUGAACAGGGCCCUGCUACUCCUCAGACCGAAAUCCCCAGGGUCGCUUUCAAGGCGUUCCAUAGUAGAGAGGAUGAAAGCGAACGUUGUAGGCAGAGGGCUGAAAAUGCCGAAUUCCAAAUGUUGGCCCAGGUCAUUCAGAGAAGGUCAUCACGCCGUCCCAAUAAGACACCCCCUGGAGCUUGCUUCAAAUGUGGUAAGGAGGGACAUUGGGCCAGGGAUUGUCCUUCGCCAAGGAUACCUUCCACCCCCUGCCCAAAAUGCCACAAAAGGGGACACUGGGGGGUAGACUGCCCAAUAACCUGGAGGGGAGGUUGGUCAGCCGCCCCACAACCCCAGCCUCUUCUGGGCUUGGCAAAGGAGGAUUGACUGAGCCCUGGGCCUUCCCUCCCGACUAUUACCGUCAAGAAGCAAGAGCCUAGGGUCACAUUUCUAGUGGAUGGACGCUUCAUUACCUUCCUCUUAGAUACUGGUGCCACAUUUUCGGUCUUGAGGGAAUAUUGGGGUCCUACCACACCCUCAAAAACUCCUAUUGUCAGGGUAGGAGGUAAACAGAUUUUCCCUUGAAAAACACCCCCCUUAUCAUGUUAUAUGCAGGGAUCCCUUUGUCCUUCACACACUCCUUUCUCAUUAUGAGCCAUUGCCCCAUUCCCCUUCUGGGAAGGGACAUACUCUCAUUAUUGAAGGUCACCAUCCACAUAUCACCCUCCAUCUCCCCCGCCUCUCAUUUCCACAUGAUGAUCCUAGGGACAGAUACACCUCCAUCAUACACUCUCCCACAGUUAAUCCUGAGGUUUGGGACACAACCACACCCUCUAUGGCUAAAUGCAGUCCUAUUCAUAUUGUCUUACGGGACCCUUCAAGAUAUAUUAGUCAACCACAAUAUCCACUCACAACCACAGCCCUCCUCGGAUUAGAACCCAUCAUCCAGGAUUUAUUACGGAAGGGGUAUCUUAGGCCUACACACUCUCCUUUCAACACCCCCAUUCUGGCAGUUAAGAAACCUAACGGGUCCUACAGGGUGGUUCAAGACCUUCGCCUCGUCAACUCCUCUGUGGUCCCCAUCCACCCGCUAGUGCCCAACCCCUACACCCUCCUCUCUCAAAUCCCUGCUACUACCACCCACUUCUUGGUCCUAGAUUUAAAAGAUGCCUUCUUUUCUAUUCCCUUGUCCUCAGAAUCUCAGGAUAUCUUUGCUUUUACGUGGACUGACCCUCACACCCACCAUUCUCGUCAGCUUACCCGGACUGUCCUCCCACAGGGAUUCAGGGAUAGCCCCCAUCUCUUUGGCCAGGUUCUUGCCCAGGACCUCACAUCCUUUCACCCUACUUGCCCUGACUCUACUCUCCUUCAAUAUGUCAAUGACCUUCUUCUAUGUAGUCCCUCUUGUGAACACUCUUAAUCCCACACCGCCCAGCUUCUCAAUUUCCUAGCAGAUAAGGGAUAUAGGGUGUCUCCCCACAAGGCCCAGGUUUCCCAGUCUUCUGUCACCUACCUUGGUUUUCGUUUUACACCAGGCAAAAAAGGAAAUACCACUGGAUAGGAGGCAACUCCUCUCUAAUCUUCUGGUGCCUCAUACGAAAGCCAAAAUACUAUCAUUCCUAGGACUAGCAGGUUAUUUUAGGGUCUGGAUCCCAAAUUACUCUCUUCUAGCCAAACCCCUGUAUGACCCAGUAAAGGGACCCCCUGGUGAAUCUCUUGCCUCCUCCCCCCGCUACCACUUUCACAGACUUCAGCAAUUUCUCUUAAAGGCACCCGCCCUUCACCUUUCUGAUCUUUCAAGACCAUUUCAUCUAUAUGUCCAUGAAAAAGGGGGGCAAGCACUUGGGGUCUUGGGUCAAAAUUAUGGGCCUACAUUUGCACCUGUGGCAUAUUUGUCCAAACAAUUAGACCCUACCAUCUGUGGGUGGGCCCCUUGCUUAAGAGCUCUGGCUGCUGGACAAAUUUUACACAAACAAGCCUCUAAGCUGUCUUUCGGGGCCCCUUUAACUAUCCACUCCCCACAUCACUUGAAGGAUCUUUUAGCUUAUAGGGGCCUUCAAACCCUUCCUCCAUCCAGAGUCCUGUCGCUCCUAACUUCCUUUCCGGAAAACCCUAAUAUUACGUUCCUCCCCUGCUCUGCUUUGAACACUGCCUCACUGCUCCCAACGACCCCCACAUCUGACACACCAGCUCAUAAUUGCUUGGAAACCUUUGAUGAUUUCCUCCCCUGUCAUUCUUCCAUUUCUGAGGGACCACUCACCAAUCCUGACCUUAUCUGGUUCACUGACUGCAGUUCCUUUAGGCAGAAUGGCACUCAUUAUUCUGGAUAUGCCGUAGUUUCGGCCACUGAGAUUAUAGAGGCCAAAGCUCUGCCUUCAGGAACUACCAACCAGCAGGCCAAACUUGUAGCAGCCACUCGUGCCUGCCUCCUAGCACGGAGCAAAUCCCUCACCCUUUAUACUGACUCAAAAUAUGUGUUCCAUAUUCUAUUAUCCCAUGCUGCAGUAUGGCGAGGCCUACUUACCACUAAAGGUAAAGGUAAUGCGAUCACUAAUUCGGCUCUUAUAACCAAUUUGAUAGAGGCCUCACACUUACCCACCCAGUUGGGAGUUGUCCAUUGUAGGUCCCAUCAGAAGGACGGCUCUCUUAUCACUGAGGGCAACGCCAAAUCUGACCAGGCUGCACAAAUAGCUGCUACCACUUCCAAUUAUGACCCCCCUGGGGGAUCUAUAAUGGCCGCUUUAAACUGUCCAUCUGAAGCCCCUACUUCUUCCAGUAAGAACAAGGAUCUUUUUGAGUUCCUCCAUACUCUAUUCCAUUCCAAUUCUCAGUCUUUGACCCUCUUUUUACAGAGCUUCUUCUCCCUCACCCCCUCUGACAAAGCCAUGCUACAGAAUAUAGCCUCUAAUUGUCAGAUCUAUCAGCAGACCAACUCUCAUACUCCUUUAAGGCCUAAACUGUUUCCCUCCCACCAAGCCCGGGGACAUAUUCCUGCUGCUGACUGGCAGGUAGACUUCACCAAUAUGCCUGCAGCACGGCACACUAAAUACCUCCUUGUCUUUGUGGACACUUUCUCUGGUUGGGUUGAGGCAUUUCCCACUUCUAAUAAAAAGGCUUCCACUGUAGCUUCAAUCUUACUGACAGACAUCAUCCCCAGGUUUGGUAUGACCACUUCCCUACAAUCUGACAAUGGUCCUGAGUUUAUUUCUAGGAUCACACAAAAGGUCUCUCAAGCCCUCUCCUUCAAGUGGCAUUUCCACUGUCCAUAUCGCCCCCUGGCUUCAGGGAAAGUGGAAAGGGUAAAUCGUACUCUAAAGGAAGUCCUUACCAAAUUAACAAUGGAAUUAAACUUAGACUGGGUCAAACUUCUUCCCUUUGCUUUGCUUCAGAUCAGAGCUCUCCCUAAGAAACCAUCUUUACUGUCUCCCUUUGAGAUAAUGUAUGGAAGACCUCUUAUACCCCCUGGGUUGGUCAUUUCACAAGGACCUCUCACACGAAAUUUGUCUUUACCUCUCUUGUUUCAUCUCCGCUCGGAACUCUGGAAAUAUCAAGACUGGCUUCUUCCGGACCCAGACUCCUCUCCAAACACCCCUCCCUUAACACCUGGGAGUUUAGUCUAUUAUAACACCCCAGAGGAUAAAGGGCCUCUUGCCCCAAAAUGGGAAGGCCCCUAUCCUAUCAUUCUCUGUACCCCCACCGCCGCCAAACUUUCCUUACCAGGCAACAGUCGCACCCACUGGAUUCACAUUUCUAGGUUGAAGCCAUAUUACCAGGAGGCCCCAUCUGCUGACGACAAGACUACCCCAGAGGAACCUCAAGAGUCACCUCCUAGACCUCCCCUUUACUCCUGCUCUCCACAUCCUAACUAUCCUCUAAAGCUUUGCCUGUCUCACGUAACUGCUCAUACUCUACCAUGACUCCCACUCUUCUAAUUGGUAUUUUCACAGUCAUCACCCUUCUCCCGGGGACAUCAUCGUCCUCCUCUUAUACUUGGAGAUUCAAAGUCAGACAUAUGUCCAAGGCAGCACUUGUUACACUCGCCUAGUUUCUUUGGUUGAUUGCGCCCCUAUGGGAUGUAAUGCAUCUAUCUUCCUUCCCCUCUCCUCCCAGAAUUCUGAACUUUUAAAAACAGCCAUUAGGCCUUACCUUUGCUUCUUAUAUGAUCAGACAGAGGAUUACUGCAAAUGGUGCCCCUACUGGUCAUGCAGUAUUCAUAACCCAUGUGCAUGCAUCGGGGAUUUCUGUGUUGGAAAUUUCAGAUUGAUCUCGGGGGGCUAUCAAUUGAUUAUCACUGACCCUAACCAUCCACGCUGGACCUCUAGGGUAAAUGCUUCCUUCUUCUGUGACAUAUCCUCUUCCACCCCCUGUGGCUCCAUCUCCAUCUCCGGAGAGCUUCAACCCUCCCAGCCCUCAGUAGCUAUAAUCUCUACUGACAUAAAGCAUUCUGAACAGCAGUUGUUAGACUCCAUACAGGAUCCAUAUGAGCCUAAUGUCGGGAGUUCACCACAGUAUUCAGGGCUACGACUACUUACUGAAACUGUAACCUUCUUCAAUCUAACCCUCCCCGCCAUUACACCAACUGAUUUCUACUUAUGCACCUCUCUGACUCGACCUUUGCUUGCAGCGGUUCCCUUGAACUUCUCGGCUUCUGACCUCUCAAAUUUCUCCACUCCAUCUGCUCGCCGUUCUCUCCGAACCCUUUCACCCGACGCUCCAUUAUGGGAGCCUGAGGAGUCUAACCAUACUGUGAUUCCCAUUCUCUGCCUCCUGGGCUUGGGUGUCUCCCAGUUAGAGUUUUGCCACUCUAACAUCACCUUUAACUUCACCCUCUAUGCACCACUUGGCUCAUUCUUCUGGUGUAAUGGUUCUCUCAUCACUAUCUUAUUCACCAACACCUCUACCCCAUGUGUACUGGUGACGCUUGUCCCGCAAUUGACUCUCUAUACCCCAGCUGAAGUGCAGGCCCUCCUGUCUCCCCCAGUGUGGAAUAAGCGGGCUGCUUUCCUUCCAAUACUGGUGGGUCUCUCACUGGCUGCAUCUGCAGCGGGAGCAGGAAUUUCUGGUGGAGCUCUAGGACACUCCUUAUGGGCUGUACAGGACUUAAGUUCUAAACUUGAACAAGCACUCACUUCUACGGCAGAAUCUCUAGCAUCUUCACAAAGGCAGGUCACAUCCUUGGCUCAAGUUACUCUUUAAAAUCGACGAGCUAUAGACUUACAGCCGAAAAAGGUGGAAGUGUCUCUUCUUGAGGGAAGAAUGCUGUUACUACAUCAAUGAAUCGGGCCUUGUGGAAACUAAUGUAGUCAAGCUCACAGACUUGGCUACCUCUUUGAAAAAUCCACCAAACCAAAACCCAUUUGCCACCUUCUUUUUAGCCCACUUCCAAUUGUGGCUGUUGCCUCUUUUAGGCCCAUAUGUCUCCUUUUCCUGAUGUGUCUGUUCCUGCCCUGUCUGCUUCGCUUCCUACAGGGCCAAUUACGGAAGAUCUCUAACCAAACUUUCAACCAGCUUCUGCUUAGGUACUACCAGCCUCUGAUGACCGAUGAACCCCCAACAUCUUCAAGAGAACAGCUCACUCAUUGCUGAAGCUCACUACCAGGUGCGAUGGAAUGCAACGGACAUCGGACAUUGGGAGACAAUAAGCCCGGAGAACCUCUUAGUCUGCCAUCCUGGAUUCUUGAGUCUUUAUGUCCUUUUAAGCCUCCUCAUGGCCCUUGGUCUCUUCUCUGUCAGUCCUCCAACAUGAAACUUCUGCCCCAAACUAACCUUUGCUUUAAUUUUUAUCUUCAUCCUGUUUUUGUUCGCUCUGAUCUUCUUCAGGUGCUGGUGACGCCAUGUCAAGGCAACGCUUCCAGUAUUUUCUAGAGUCUCUGCUACAAGACCAGUGGCUGACACCAACAAUCUCCUCCAUCCAGGACUGGUUCGAUGCCAUCGACGACUUGUGGUUUCAGGAAACUUUCAUAGACUUCACCCCUACGGAAGUAGCUGUCUAUAGCCACUGGGUUUUAUUUCUGGUUGCCAUGAUAUCCCCAGACCUGCCCCCCGAACAUUCCUCCACUUCCCCUUCUAGGCCCUAGGCCGCCCCCGCACAGCCAGAAAAAGCCAGAUCUGACCAACGACGCCCCAAUUCCUAAGAAAACAAAAAGGGAGGAAUGUUGGGAAAACAUAUAACGGAAGCAGCACCCCAGAGAAAAACCCCAACAUGGCGCCUAACGACCCUCUUUCUCCUCUUUUUUCUUUCACUGGCGCGAAACGUUCCCGCCGGCGCCAAUGUUCAAAUCCUGCGGGUGGGAAACCUUAGCCCCAAUAAGAAUUAACUUCUUGGGCUCCGGAACUGACAUAUGGAAGAGCUUGCUAAUAAACGGGUGACCCGUUAUCUACCUCAGCCCUGCCACUUCUUCUUAGGUCUAUAUAAACCCACAGCCUUUUGUAAUAAAGCAGAACCUCUCCAGUGAUUUGUGUCGUGUAGUAUCUUCCAUUCGUAGUGCAGUGCAUCUUACAAAGCCAGUUUGUGAGGACGCAGUGGGAAGGUGGCAGUCUGUGGCUCAGAAAAGCCCGGAGCCUGUGCCUGCUGCCCUCUGACCUGAGUUGCAGUCUCCAGGACUAGAAAUGAUCACG